Molecule: ribosomal RNA, 301 nt
Filed under: uncultured bacterium
Lineage: Bacteria
Description: partial 16S ribosomal RNA
Rfam family: Bacterial small subunit ribosomal RNA
Source: RNAcentral
CAGCAGCCGCGGGAAUACGUAGGUGGCAAGCGUUGUCCGGAAUUAUUGGGCGUAAAGGGCUCGCAGGCGGUUUCUUAAGUCUGAUGUGAAAGCCCCCGGCCCAACCGGGGAGGGUCAUUGGAAACUGGGAGACUUGAGUGCAGAAGAGGAGAGUGGAAUUCCACGUGUAGCGGUGAAAUGCGUAGAGAUGUGGAGGAACACCAGUGGCGAAGGCGACUCUCUGGUCUGUAACUGACGCUGAGGAGCGAAAGCGUGGGGAGCGAACAGGAUUAGAUACCCGCGUAGUCCCUGUCUCUUAUAC